Long non-coding RNA from Wyeomyia smithii (pitcher-plant mosquito), 750 nucleotides. RefSeq lists it as uncharacterized. Lineage: Eukaryota; Metazoa; Arthropoda; Insecta; Diptera; Culicidae. The record is from RefSeq and is a predicted model, not a curated record. The transcript has 4 exons.
AGGCAACUUGGUAAUUGCGUGGAAUUGUUAUUUUUCGUUCUGUGCCAUUUAGUGCAGAGUUUUUGAUUUAAAGUGAAGAGCAAGUGAAAAAAUUUAAAGGUUUCAACGGAUUUAAAUUAUUUAAACGAAGUAUCGGACACUGCCUGUUACGAUUCGGAUAAAAACUGGCUUCGAAAUAACACAGCGCCCCGUGAGGAAGUUUUGCGCCGCUGGAAUGAAACAUUCUUUGUAAGGUAUACAAGGUGUUCUCACAGUCAAGUGUCCCAGUCGAACUGAGAUUAUCGUCAUUACAUAACUUGCAUGUUAUUCAAUGCUAGAGCGAGUCAGUGAGACGCUCUGCGAAUAAAUUAGCGACCAUUCUUCAAGCCUAGAGCAACGUGUGCUCUAUCAACUGUUUUGAGGAGGAAUUUUUAGAUGUGAGGACAGCACUGCGGCGAGAGUCAAACAAAGCACAGCAACCUCCGUCACCACGAAUUCGAAGGAUGUUCAAGAACGAUGAAUCGACUAACAACUAUCGACUUCUAAAUGAAUCAUGAUUGGAAGCUUCAGCGCGCAUUCGGAAACUGUAAUUACGUAAGCAUUUGAACAAGAUAAUGAACCCUCUCUGUACCGUUGAAUUGUUAAAACUACUUACGUUGUGCGGUUAUCUGAGCCAUUUUCAUUUGUUUCUAAAUUGUCUCUCAAAGCUCUGACAAAAACCUGGCCUUCGAAAGGCGCUAAAUUUGUAGUGAAAUAUAAGUUUUUUUACGA